GAUGAACGCUGGCGGCGUGCCUAAUACAUGCAAGUCGAACGCUUCACUUCGGUGAAGAGUGGCGAACGGGUGAGUAAUACAUAAGUAACCUGGCAUCUACAGGGGGAUAACUGAUGGAAACGUCAGCUAAGACCGCAUAGGUGUAGAGAUCGCAUGAACUCUAUAUGAAAAGUGCUACGGGACUGGUAGAUGAUGGGCUUAUGGCGCAUUAGCUGGUUGGUAGGGUAACGGCCUACCAAGGCGACGAUGCGUAGCCGACCUGAGAGGGUGACCGGCCACACUGGGACUGAGACACGGCCCAGACUCCUACGGGAGGCAGCAGUAGGGAAUUUUCGGCAAUGGGGGAAACCCUGACCGAGCAACGCCGCGUGAAGGAAGAAGUAAUUCGUUAUGUAAACUUCUGUCAUAGAGGAAGAACGGUGGAUAUAGGGAAUGAUAUCCAAGUGACGGUACUCUAUAAGAAAGCCACGGCUA
RNAcentral lists this ribosomal RNA (474 nucleotides) under uncultured bacterium. Its description in RNAcentral is "bacterial SSU rRNA". It matches the Rfam family "Bacterial small subunit ribosomal RNA", at positions 28 to 499 of the family's 1533-position model. The record is from RNAcentral.